Molecule: non-coding RNA, 206 nt
Organism: Oryza glumipatula
Lineage: Eukaryota; Viridiplantae; Streptophyta; Magnoliopsida; Poales; Poaceae
Source: Rfam
UUUAAGUACAACCAUAAGUUUCCGUGCCCAACUUUAAGCAUCCGUCUUAUUUGAAAUUUUUUCUGUAAGUAGUAUUUUUAUUGUUAUGAGAUGAUAAAAUAUGAAUAGUACUUUAUAUGUGACUUAUACUUUUCAAAUUUUUCAAAAAAUUUUCAAAUAAAAUGGACGGUCAAAGUUAUGCAUGGAAAAUCAUGGCUGCACUUAAA